This 699-nucleotide ribosomal RNA is filed under the name uncultured bacterium. RNAcentral describes it as "bacterial SSU rRNA". It matches the Rfam family "Bacterial small subunit ribosomal RNA", at positions 8 to 740 of the family's 1533-position model. The record is from RNAcentral.
AGAGUUUGAUCCUGGCUCAGAACGAACGUUGGCGGCAGGCUUAACACAUGCAAGUCGGAGGUGAACCGGGACUUCGGUCCCGCGGAAACUGGCGCACGGGUGAGUAACGCGUGGGAAUCUACCCCGGGGUGGGGAAUAACCGCUGGAAACGGCGGCUAAUACCGCAUACGCCUUGAGAGGGAAAGCUUUAUGCGCCCUGGGAUGAGCCCGCGUCGGAUUAGCUUGUUGGUGAGGUAACGGCUCACCAAGGCUUCGAUCCGUAGCUGGUCUGAGAGGAUGAUCAGCCACACUGGGACUGAGACACGGCCCAGACUCCUACGGGAGGCAGCAGUGGGGAAUAUUGGACAAUGGGGGCAACCCUGAUCCAGCCAUGUCGCGUGCGUGAAGAGGGCCUUAGGGUUGUAAAGCGCUUUCAGUGGGGAAGAUGAUGACGGUACCCGCAGAAGAAGCCCCGGCUAACUCCGUGCCAGCAGCCGCGGUAAUACGGAGGGGGCAAACGUUGUUCGGAAUUACUGGGCGUAAAGGGCGCGUAGGCGGAUUAUCAAGUCAGAGGUGAAAGCCCUGGGCUCAACCUAGGAACUGCCUUUGAAACUGAUAGUCUUGAGUCCGAGAGAGGAUGGCGGAAUUCCCAGUGUAGAGGUGAAAUUCGUAGAUAUUGGGAAGAACACCAGUGGCGAAGGCGGCCAUCUGGCUCGGUAC